Long non-coding RNA from Teleopsis dalmanni, 749 nucleotides. RefSeq lists it as uncharacterized. The record is from RefSeq and is a predicted model, not a curated record. NCBI's taxonomy places the organism in Eukaryota, Metazoa, Arthropoda, Insecta, Diptera, Diopsidae. The transcript has 3 exons.
CUGAGGUCGAGAAGCUCACAGUGUGCACAUCAAAUGUGAUGAUUUGAAGGCCUUUUAGGUCAAUAGAGUCCGACUAUCCAUUAUAGAUUACGAUGAUUAAAAGGAUUCUUGAUUCAUACCUCAAACUGCCUAUUACCGAUUUGUGAUGAUCAAUAAUACCCCAGAGACCUUUUGCUCUGGGAUCAAGAACUUGAGACACUACCAAAUAUGACAUAAAGGUCUCUAGGCUUCAUUUCAUUCAAAAAUGGAAUAAAGAAAACAUCCAGAAUGUAUAUUUUGUGUGUCAACAUGAUGUCGUGUUUUGCUUCCAUAUCCAUAUCAAGACUGGUAUUCAAGACUGGUAUUGAUUGGGAACUUACUCACCAACAUAACUCGUCAGAUUUUGCAUGGACUGCAUGGAAUCUUAAUUAAAAUGUUAUUUCUCCUUUAAGAACCUGACUGUAUUCUAAUUACUUGAAUCUGAAAUCUUAAACCAGUACUUGUUUCAUUGGGGAAAUAACAUGGGAAAAUGUGUAUAUUUGGCUAUGUUUAUGAGUUAUGUAUGGAAACGUAAGAUGCCGCGUAUGAAUGACGAAAACGAUUGCUUUCACUGACUUCAUUAAUUGAUUAAUCGAUUGAUCAUGUUAUGAUAUGCAGCAUUGCAGCAUCCAAAAUUACCUACAUGGAUGCAUUAAUGGACAGGCAUCAUUUGAUAAGCUACUGAAACGGGAUUUAUAUUAACUCGCAAGAGACUCGCAUAAUUAUUAUUU